This 84-nucleotide transfer RNA is filed under the name Candidatus Nomurabacteria bacterium. Its description in RNAcentral is "tRNA-Tyr". It matches the Rfam family "tRNA". From Rfam's summary of the family: Transfer RNA (tRNA) molecules are approximately 80 nucleotides in length. Their secondary structure includes four short double-helical elements and three loops (D, anti-codon, and T loops). Further hydrogen bonds mediate the characteristic L-shaped molecular structure. tRNAs have two regions of fundamental functional importance: the anti-codon, which is responsible for specific mRNA codon recognition, and the 3' end, to which the tRNAs corresponding amino acid is attached (by aminoacyl-tRNA synthetases). tRNAs cope with the degeneracy of the genetic code in two manners: having more than one tRNA (with a specific anti-codon) for a particular amino acid; and 'wobble' base-pairing, i.e. permitting non-standard base-pairing at the 3rd anti-codon position. RNAcentral also lists the same sequence under 1 other name. Lineage: Bacteria; Candidatus Nomuraibacteriota. The record is from RNAcentral.
GCGUCGGUGGCAGAGUGGUCAAUUGCACUUGACUGUAAAUCAAGCGCCCUUAGGGCUACGAAGGUUCAAAUCCUUCCCGGCGCA